GCCUGAGUGGCGGAAUUGGUAGACGCGCCAGACUUAGGAUCUGGUAACGAAAGUUGUGCAGGUUCGAGUCCUGUCUCAGGCA
RNAcentral lists this transfer RNA (82 nucleotides) under Phragmitibacter flavus. It matches the Rfam family "tRNA". Rfam says of the family: Transfer RNA (tRNA) molecules are approximately 80 nucleotides in length. Their secondary structure includes four short double-helical elements and three loops (D, anti-codon, and T loops). Further hydrogen bonds mediate the characteristic L-shaped molecular structure. tRNAs have two regions of fundamental functional importance: the anti-codon, which is responsible for specific mRNA codon recognition, and the 3' end, to which the tRNAs corresponding amino acid is attached (by aminoacyl-tRNA synthetases). tRNAs cope with the degeneracy of the genetic code in two manners: having more than one tRNA (with a specific anti-codon) for a particular amino acid; and 'wobble' base-pairing, i.e. permitting non-standard base-pairing at the 3rd anti-codon position. The record is from Rfam by way of RNAcentral. Lineage: Bacteria; Pseudomonadati; Verrucomicrobiota; Verrucomicrobiia; Verrucomicrobiales; Verrucomicrobiaceae.